GGAAGAAGAAGGCAGGCAGAGUUCUCUGCAGCAGCAGACCCUCUGCCCAGAACAUCCAGCACAGCUUUUGCCAGAUGACUCACUCUCUCAUUGAAGGAUGCAAGGCUGGCAGCUGAUUGUGGUCCAGUUUUCAGGGGCAUCCCACCCAGCACCCUCAUGCUUGCAGAUGAAAGAAGUUGGACAUAUUCUACAAACAAGCUGCAGUCAUUACACUUCUCCCCGGUAUUUGUUUUCCAGAUCUGAAUCAAGAAGCAUACAUUUCAAUCAAAGUUCUGUUCAUACAGAACAUAUUAAACAUACAGAAAAGCAUGUCUAGUACAAGGACUGAGACAAUGCUAUGGCAAAAUCCCAACAUGUGUUACAGUUCUGCUGUAAUGGCACAAUAAUUCUAUAUUUAGGAUAAAAUAAAUAUAGCAAUAAUUUUCUAUAAUGGCACAAUAAUCCUAACCCUAACCACUGAUAAUUGAGCAAAGAGGCACCUUUUAAAGUGCCUGAGACCUUGGGUUAGGGUGGUAUAAAAUGCACUAACUAACUAACUAACUAACUAAAUAAAUAAAUAAAUAAAUAAAUAAAGUGGUGAUUCUCACAUAUUUAGCAGGGCGAGAGCAAUUUGCCCUAUCCAACCCCAGCACAGCAUCCCUCCAGUGGCUGUUUCUGGAGUCAACCUUAUAUUUCUUAUUAGAUUGUGAGCUCUUUGGGGACAGGAUUGUUUAUUUUUCUAUGUAAACCACUUUGAGAACUUGGGUUGAAGAGCGGUAUAUAAAAAAUGUGUAGUAGUAGUAGUAAUCCAGCUUGGUUGUGACUAAGGCAAUGGUUCCCAACCAGGGUUCCUCCAGAUGUUGAUGCACUACAACUCCCAUCAUUCCCAGCUACAAUGUAUUGUGGCUGGGGGUGAUGGGAAUUGUAGCUCAGCAACAUCUGGAGGAGCCCUAGUUAGGAACCACUGGACUAAGCUAUUGUCCAAACCGGUCCACAAUUAGCAUAACAUCUGGUUUGGUUCUUUUUGAACAUAUGAAUAAAGCAAUUCUCCAAUAUCAAAUGUAAAAAAGGUCUCUGAAGUUUAAGGAACACUGGUGGAGAUGAAGGAGAAGAAAGAAAAAACUUAUUGAGAUGCUUGAGUAGUUUUAAUUUAACUCAACCUAGCUGAGUGGAAUCAAGGAUAAGUGCUUUGUCCUUUCCAAGUAAAAUGAAUGCACUCUUCUCAGCAGAGAAAUACAUUCUGUUGUUCUGAGGCAACGUACAGCUUAGUGAGAUGCUUGCUGUGAGAUUUGCAGUUAGGAAGGCAUUGCACAUAUUAAGAUGUAACACGGAGGCUGGCAACUCACUUCGACUUAGUUGUUCUUCAGUAACAAAAUGUUCCACGACAGGAAAAGAGAGAAACAGAGAUCCUUUAUCAGUCUAAUGCUCUGGAAUGUUACAGUAGUAUAAAUUACUUGAGUAAAAUAAAUAGAACUGUCAUGUUACUUGAUUAGCUUAUUUUGUCUUCUGGCUGCUCACUAGACCGUUCUAGAGUUGAAAAAUUUGGUAUUCGUAGCAAGGAUGGCUGCAGUCCAUCCCACAGUUCUAUGUAAUGAAGUUAUUCACCAUGUUGUAAUGCUUCCAAACCAGAGAUAGCUGACGAACUUGGGAAUUUUAUGUUAUGGUUUAGAAGUGUAAGCCAUUAGGUUCAGCCUCAAGUGGCUGCUUCCCCUUUGAAUCUCAGGUGGCUGUCUCUCCUCGACCCUGAACCACAAUAUGAUUUGACAUCAGCACUAGAGGUGAUGUCCCUAGUGGACUCCCCACUCAGCACUGUAAACAGUGAU
Molecule: long non-coding RNA, 1802 nt
Organism: Hemicordylus capensis (graceful crag lizard)
Lineage: Eukaryota; Metazoa; Chordata; Lepidosauria; Squamata; Cordylidae
Exons: 3
Source: RefSeq, a predicted model, not a curated record